UUCCUAUAAUAUAUUAUAUAAUUUUUACUGAAUAUAUUUAUGUUUAUGUUCAUUUUUAUUUUUCCCUUGUUUGCAGAAAUGUAUUUAAUUAAAUCCAAUUAUUUGCUAUCAAACAAGAUCCUGGCAGCUGUAGAGUAUUUUUUUUUAAGUAGCUCAAUUUGACUAAUCUUUCAACUGUCCAGUUUGGGUGAACUUAUGCCCAGGAUAGCCUCAGAUUCCGGUCCUUGGCUGACAGGUGUGGACCCCAAUGUGGUCUUCUGCUGUUGUAGCCGAUCCACAACUAAGUUCGAUGUGUUGUGCAUGCUGAGAUGCUUUUCUGCUCAUCAUGGUUGUAAAGAGUGUAUAGUAUUGAGUUACUAUAUCCUUCCAGGCAACUUGAACCAAUCUGGCCAUUUUCUUCUUCAUCAUCACUUAUCAACAAGACAUUUCCACCCACAGAACUGUCGCUACUAGCCCAUCUGGUACUACUGGCUGAUUGGAUAACUGCAUAAAUGAGCAGGUGUACAAGUGUUUUAUUCAGGUGGACAGUGUUUGUAUAUAUUGGGGGUUCAAUAGGGGCUCAGCAGUAAUAAGUAAUAAUCCAAAUAUCAUACAUAAGUACAACAAAAUAACAACAACAACAACAACAACAACAACAACAACAACAACAACAAUAAUAAUAAUAAUAAUAAUAAUAAUAACAAUAAUAAUAAUAAUAAUAAUAAUAAUAAUAAUAAUAAUAAUAAUAAUAAUGGCUAGUGCACAUAUUUCAGAUAAGGUAAUUUUUCACAUUUUUACAGAUCCAAGAGAGAAAAGGACAAUAAGCACAGCGAGAGAGAGACAGUGAGUGAGAGAGAGAGAGAGGAAACCAAAAUAUUUAACUCAAUACAAUUAAACAAUCUAUGUGUCAGAGCACUAUAUGGAACACUGGAAGUAUAACAAUGCUUAGAAAUUAACAGUUGGUGUAGUACACAUUUGGCAUUGUUAUGUAGUAGGAAGUGGUUCACAUUUCUCCAAUGAGCAACUCACCAAUUUUUCUUUUUCUUUUUUUUUUUUUUCUUGCAUGAGAACCAAUAUGACUGUGAACAUUGUUUAUCUUGUUUUUAAUUUUCUUGUCUCUGCUUCUUUAAUUUGGAUUACAAUUUUUUCAUUUAGUCAUUAGAUAGAGAAUAUUCUUUCUCUAGUGCUAGCCAGUUAGCAAACUGACCUUGGGCCAAGAUUGGGUAAAUGUGAUAUUGUCCACUGGGCCAAUAUUGGACCACCAGCAUACAUAAACCUUAAAAUGGACCUUGCCAACACUGGCCCAACCAACAUACAUAAACAUAACUACCCAAAAUGGACGUUUGGUACCUGGGCAUUAGUGUAGUUUCUGAUUUGAACUUAUGACUACAGUUUGUCAGAAUGGUUGUGCUUAGAAAUGUUUACAGUCAAAGGCCUUUCAUAGACACUUUGAUAUUAAUCCCUGAAUAUUUGUUAAAUUUCUCUGCUAUCUUAAUAACCCUGUGAUGUCGGCUUGACUGUACAUCUAUGAACAGAGCCUGUCUUUGAUAACAAACAAAGGUCCUGCACUGGGUCUCAGUUUUGAGAAUGAGAUCUUCUAGCUGUGUCAGAGCCAUAUUGAGGAUAGUGUUGGUGAAUGGACAGCCAGGCUGCAAAAGUCUGAGUUUCCCAGAAGAACCUUGGACUUCAGGAAGAAAGCAGUCCAGAAUGCUGAAGUCUGGUGGUGGUGCAGAGGGGAUUUGUUUCAGAUUCCAAAGAAGACUUUGUUCCAGGAAGGACCACCUGAUUUUUUGGGUGCAGAUCUCAAAGGUCAUAAUAAGGAGGGUGUCCACCUUUGCUUUCUUUCUUCUCUUGAAAGAAGGGGUAAUGAAAGCACUGAGGCGUUUGGCCAAAAGUCGAGAGAAUAUUAAAUAGUCCACACUGAUGUGUCUGUCACCUGAAAGAUGAGAUUCUUUGAAAGCUUCAGGUACAUGUUUGUUCUUUACCAUGAGAUUGAAUUUUAUCUUUAAUAAUUCUGUUAUUGGACAUUGAAACCUUUUGUAAUAAUCUAUUUCCAACUGAUUAGAUCGUUGCUUUUCUGAGUCAGUCAAAGACUUCAUAGCACUCAGUAUUUCUGCCCCAUUAAUCUUCCCUGGUCUCCUGUCAGGAUCAUAUCUAAAUUCUUUCAGCAUUGACGCUACAAUUGGAAUUUUAUUUUGGGACUGCUUCUGGACUCUGACUUUUAGAACAACAGGAUCAUGAUCAGAAAUAUUAUCACUCUGUAUCUUAAUUUUACACCCCCUUUCUAUUUUGUCCUCUGCCAUAAAAAACAUGUCUAACCUGGAGUAACACUCAUUCUGACAUCGUGUAAAUCCAUCAUCAGUUGAGUGUAAGAAUGACCAGCUGUCUCUGAGAUUCAGAGAUGCAGUAAAGUCUUCUAAUUUAUCUCUUAAUCGUGAAUUCCUUGAAGAUGGAGGUCUCCGAUCUAAUCUGGGAUGCAAAACUGUGUUGAAAUCACCUCCAACCACUAGCACACCCUCAGCUGUUUCCAUCAAGUACUCUUUCAGUCUACC
Ictalurus punctatus (channel catfish) is the source of this 2531-nucleotide long non-coding RNA. Lineage: Eukaryota; Metazoa; Chordata; Actinopteri; Siluriformes; Ictaluridae. The record is from Ensembl.